GUCCUAGCCCUAAACGAUGGGUACUAGGUUGUAGACUAACAUGGGUUUACAACCGAAGCAAAAGUGUUAAGUACCCCGCCUGGGGAGUAUGGUCGCAAGGCUGAAACUCAAAGGAAUUGACGGGGGCUCACACAAGCGGUGGAGCAUGUGGCUUAAUUCGAGGCUACGCGAAGAACCUUAUCCUAGGCUUGACAUGUGCGAAAGCGGUAGGAAGUAGCUGCCGGAAACGGCCAGCCAACGGUAUCCAGUCCGGAACCUACUACAGGUGCUGCAUGGCUGUCGU
Molecule: ribosomal RNA, 283 nt
Filed under: uncultured bacterium
Lineage: Bacteria
Description: partial 16S ribosomal RNA
Rfam family: Bacterial small subunit ribosomal RNA
Source: RNAcentral